GAAGCGGCGACAGCUCAAAUUUGAAAUCUGGUUCCUUCGGAGCCCGAGUUGUAAUUUGCAGAGGAUGCUUUGGGUUCGGGUUCCUUCCGAGUUCCCUGGAACGGGACGCCAUAGAGGGUGAGAGCCCCGUCUGGUCGGAAACCCAGCCCGUGUAAAGCUCCCUCGACGAGUCGAGUAGUUUGGGAAUGCUGCUCUAAGGGGAGGUAUACUCCUUCCAAGGCUAAAUAUUGGCUAGAGACCGAUAGCGAACAAGUAGAGUGAUCGAAAGAUGAAAAGCACUUUGAAAAGAGAGUUAAACAGCACGUGAAAUUGUUAAAAGGGAAGCGCUCGUUACCAGACUUGAGUUCGGAGGUUCAACCGGGGCCAUGCCCCGGGGCACUCCACCGGCUCAGGCCAGCAUCAGUUCUUCGUCGGAGGGAAAGACGUCGGGAAUGUAGCACCCCUCCGGGGGUGUGUUAUAGCCCGGCGUGUCAUAUCCUUCGGGGGACUGAGGUUCGCGCAUCUGCAAGGAUGCUGGCGUAAUGGUAACUAGUGAC
RNAcentral lists this ribosomal RNA (536 nucleotides) under Colletotrichum sp. CP2035. Its description in RNAcentral is "eukaryotic LSU rRNA". It matches the Rfam family "Eukaryotic large subunit ribosomal RNA", at positions 95 to 648 of the family's 3401-position model. The record is from RNAcentral. Lineage: Eukaryota; Fungi; Ascomycota; Sordariomycetes; Glomerellales; Glomerellaceae.